GGGCCAGUGGCGCAAUGGAUAACGCGUCUGACUACAAAUCAGAAGAUUGAAGGUUCGACUCCUACCUGGCUCG
Molecule: non-coding RNA, 73 nt
Organism: Pelobates fuscus (common spadefoot toad)
Lineage: Eukaryota; Metazoa; Chordata; Amphibia; Anura; Pelobatidae
Source: the annotation of a RefSeq genome assembly